This 253-nucleotide ribosomal RNA is filed under the name uncultured bacterium. Its description in RNAcentral is "partial 16S ribosomal RNA". It matches the Rfam family "Bacterial small subunit ribosomal RNA", at positions 524 to 776 of the family's 1533-position model. The record is from RNAcentral.
UACAGAGGUCCCGAGCGUUGUUCGGAUUCACUGGGCGUAAAGGGUGCGUAGGUGGCAUGGUAAGCUUGAUGUGAAAGCUCAGGGCUUAACCCUGAAAUGGCAUUGAAUACUACUGUGCUGGAGGUUUGGAGGGGGGACUGGAAUUCUUGGUGUAGCAGUGAAAUGCGUAGAUAUCAAGAGGAACACCAGUGGCGAAGGCGAGUCCCUGGACAACACCUGACACUGAGGCACGAAAGCUAGGGGAGCAAACAGG